UACGAAGGGGGCUAGCGUUGUUCGGAAUUACUGGGCGUAAAGCGCGCGCAGGCGGUUCUUCAAGUCAGUGGUGAAAGCCCGGAGCUCAACUCCGGAAUUGCCAUUGAAACUGUAGAACUUGAGGAUGAGAGAGGUGAGUGGAAUUCCCAGUGUAGAGGUGAAAUUCGUAGGUAUUAGGAAGAACACCGGUGGCGAAGGCGGCUCACUGGCUCAUUUCUGACGCUCAGGCGCGACAGCGUGGGGAUCAAACAGG
This 253-nucleotide ribosomal RNA is filed under the name uncultured bacterium. RNAcentral describes it as "partial 16S ribosomal RNA". It matches the Rfam family "Bacterial small subunit ribosomal RNA", at positions 524 to 776 of the family's 1533-position model. The record is from RNAcentral.